AGAGAUGUGUGAUGACGCAUAUCAAUAAGCGGAGGAAAAGAAACUGACAAGGAUUCCCUAGUAACGGCGAGUGAAGCGGGAAGAGCUCAAAUUUGAAAUCUUAAAGGGUUCUACCUUGACGAAUUGUAGUUUAUAGAAGUGUUUUCUGUUAGUAGAGUUCGGUAAAAGUUCUUUGGAAUAGGACAUCAUAGAGGGUGAGAAUCCCGUAUUUGACCGUUACUUUCCAGCUGUGUGAUACACUUUCAAAGAGUCGGAUUGUUUGGGAAUGCAGUCCAAGAUGGGUGGUAAAUUUCAUCUAAAGCUAAAUAUUGGCGAGAGACCGAUAGCGAACAAGUACCGUGAGGGAAAGAUGAAAAGAACUUUGAAAAGAGAGUUAAACAGUACGUGAAAUUGUCAAAAGGGAAGCGUUUUGACACCAGUGUUGUUUAGUUGAAAAUCAACUCAAUAGUUUUUGAUUCUAAGUAGUAUUGACUUCAUCAGCUUGCUGCUUUCUUCUCAGAAAUUAUUGAAUGCACUUUUCAGUUAACAAGUCAACAUCAAUUUCUUUUGUUGUAAAAGGGUAAGAGGAAGGUGGCUUGCGCUUCGGCUCAAGUGUUUAUAGCCUUUUAUCUCUGCAAUCGGAGAGAUUGAGGUCUGCAGCGUAGAUCCUUCGGGGUUAGAUACAUUGGUGCUAAGCUAUAGCCUUGUAUAGACAACUUGUUGACUAUGCUCAGUCAUGUAGCUUACUCGCUGAUGCUAUUUUACCUACGCUUAGGAUGUUGAGAGCAGUAUAGACUGU
RNAcentral lists this ribosomal RNA (778 nucleotides) under uncultured Neocallimastigales. RNAcentral describes it as "partial large subunit ribosomal RNA". It matches the Rfam family "Eukaryotic large subunit ribosomal RNA", at positions 23 to 638 of the family's 3401-position model. The record is from RNAcentral. Lineage: Eukaryota; Fungi; Neocallimastigomycota; Neocallimastigomycetes; Neocallimastigales.